This 424-nucleotide ribosomal RNA is filed under the name uncultured Sphingobacteriales bacterium. RNAcentral describes it as "bacterial SSU rRNA". It matches the Rfam family "Bacterial small subunit ribosomal RNA", at positions 355 to 776 of the family's 1533-position model. Lineage: Bacteria; Pseudomonadati; Bacteroidota; Sphingobacteriia; Sphingobacteriales. The record is from RNAcentral.
UAAGGAAUAUUGGACAAUGGGCGAAAGCCUGAUCCAGCCAUGCCGCGUGCAGGAAGAAGGCGCUAUGCGUCGUAAACUGCUUUUACACCGGAGAAAACCCCCUUUCGUGAAAGGGGCUGAUAGUAUGGUGAGAAUAAGCAUCGGCUAACUUCGUGCCAGCAGCCGCGGUAAGACGAAGGAUGCAAGCGUUAUCCGGAUUCAUUGGGUUUAAAGGGAGCGUAGGCGGUCUUAUAAGUCAGUGGUGAAAUCUCCUCGCUUAACGAGGAAACUGCCAUUGAUACUGUAGGACUUGAGUAUAGUUGCUGUGGGCGGAAUAUGACAUGUAGUGGUGAAAUACUUAGAGAUGUCAUAGAACACCGAUUGCGAAGGCAGCUCACAAAACUAUAACUGACGCUGAGGCUCGAAAGUGCGGGGAUCAAACAGG